Molecule: ribosomal RNA, 546 nt
Filed under: Bifidobacterium breve
Lineage: Bacteria; Bacillati; Actinomycetota; Actinomycetes; Bifidobacteriales; Bifidobacteriaceae
Description: bacterial SSU rRNA
Rfam family: Bacterial small subunit ribosomal RNA
Source: RNAcentral
CUGGGAAAACGGUGGUAAUGCCGGAUGCUCCAUCACACCGCAUGGUGUGUUGGGAAAGCCUUUGCGGCAUGGGAUGGGGUCGCGUCCUAUCAGCUUGAUGGCGGGGUAACGGCCCACCAUGGCUUCGACGGGUAGCCGGCCUGAGAGGGCGACCGGCCACAUUGGGACUGAGAUACGGCCCAGACUCCUACGGGAGGCAGCAGUGGGGAAUAUUGCACAAUGGGCGCAAGCCUGAUGCAGCGACGCCGCGUGAGGGAUGGAGGCCUUCGGGUUGUAAACCUCUUUUGUUAGGGAGCAAGGCAUUUUGUGUUGAGUGUACCUUUCGAAUAAGCACCGGCUAACUACGUGCCAGCAGCCGCGGUAAUACGUAGGGUGCAAGCGUUAUCCGGAAUUAUUGGGCGUAAAGGGCUCGUAGGCGGUUCGUCGCGUCCGGUGUGAAAGUCCAUCGCUUAACGGUGGAUCCGCGCCGGGUACGGGCGGGCUUGAGUGCGGUAGGGGAGACUGGAAUUCCCGGUGUAACGGUGGAAUGUGUAGAUAUCGGAAAGA